CUGAAAAAAGUAACAAUAGUUAACGAUACAUCUCAAUAAACAUUAGAGCAAGUUCUGCAAGCCCUAAUGUAUGAUACGAAUGAGCUUCUACAGAUUUAGAGAUACUCACUCUACUAGCGGAUGUUCACUUGAAAAAAAAAAAAAAAAAGGCAGGGAAUCUAACAAAAUCGAGGGGGGAGUAGAAAAAGUAUCUGCUAAGUGCAACCAAGAUGAGAUGAAUCUCUAGUGCCAGAAGUCAAUUUCUCUGAGUAAAUCAAUACACGCGAUCUAAACAAACUACAACUGAAUGUUGGGAGAAUUAUAUUAAUGCUCAAAUCAGCAGAUUACUUACAUAAAUACAGAGAAAGAUCUUUGUAAUUUGUUUAAAAGGAGCAUAUUUUGAGCCAAUACAAACCACAGAGGCAUAUAUACAAGCAACCAAAUUAGGCAAUUCUCUCGCUUUUCACCCCCCAUUCUCCUGAUCAGCAGAACUCUUCGGAAUAAAACAAAACUAAAUUCCAAGGAAUCCAAAAAACGGAAAAAUUAGAUCUAUUUUCAACGGAUCACACCUAGUAAGAAAAAGUAUUUUGUUUUGGUUCGACUUGUGGUCACAUAUACGAAACCGCAUGGAAUGGAUACAUAGUACCCAUAGACAAAGAGAUUAAGUAAGACAUAAAGUAACUUAUUGAACAUAAUAAUUAAAAUAUCAAUCAGAAAAUGAGUGAGUGAAAUAGAGAAGUACAGAUUUGUAAGCGGAAAGAGGCGAAGAAGUAAAGUCACGGCGACGGAGAGAUCGGAGGAGGACGGCGGUCGCCAUUUGAGGAAAGACCUUUCUGUGACUGGGUUUUUGGGUGCUUGGGUUUAGGGUUUAUGAGGGAAAUGGCAGAUAAAGAGAAAAACCUUUUUCCCGGCGAGUUACGAUAUACGAUAUAUGAAGAAAUUUUUGAGAAAUAGUGCGUAUGAGAAGCUUCUAGAAAAAUAUCGUAUCGCCCAUUUAUCGUACAAUACACGAAGUUGUG
This 998-nucleotide long non-coding RNA is filed under the name Olea europaea subsp. europaea. Lineage: Eukaryota; Viridiplantae; Streptophyta; Magnoliopsida; Lamiales; Oleaceae. The record is from RNAcentral.